RNAcentral lists this ribosomal RNA (405 nucleotides) under uncultured bacterium. RNAcentral's name for it is "bacterial SSU rRNA". It matches the Rfam family "Bacterial small subunit ribosomal RNA", at positions 29 to 416 of the family's 1533-position model. The record is from RNAcentral.
AAUCAACGCUGGCGGCGUGCCUAACACAUGCAAGUCGAGCGCGAAAGGGGAGCAAUCCCCAAGUAGAGCGGCGAACGGGUGAGUAACGCGUGGGUAAUCUGCCUCCGAGUGGGGAACAACACCGGGAAACUGGUGCUAAUACCGCAUGACAUCGUUGGACCUUCGGAUCUGACGAUCAAAGACCGGGGACCGGCAAGGCCUGGCGCUUGGAGAGGAGCCCGCGUCCGAUUAGCUAGUUGGUGGGGUAAGUGGCCCACCAAGGCUACGAUCGGUAGCCGGCCUGAGAGGGCGGACGGCCACACUGGGACUGAGACACGGCCCAGACUCCUACGGGAGGCAGCAGUGGGGAAUUUUUCGCAAUGGGCGAAAGCCUGACGAAGCAACGCCGCGUGGAGGAUGAAGGCC